This 525-nucleotide ribosomal RNA is filed under the name uncultured eukaryote. RNAcentral describes it as "eukaryotic LSU rRNA". It matches the Rfam family "Eukaryotic large subunit ribosomal RNA", at positions 923 to 1445 of the family's 3401-position model. The record is from RNAcentral.
GCGAAAGACUAAUCGAACCAUCUAGUAGCUGGUUCCCUCCGAAGUUUCCCUCAGGAUAGCUGGAACUUGUAGAAAUAGUUUUAUCAGGUAAAGCGAAUGAUUAGAAGCUCUGGGGAUGAAACAUCCUCGACUUAUUCUCAAACUUUAAAUAGGUAAGAUGAUUGCAGUACUUAAUUGACUGUCAGUCUCUUGAAUAGAAAGUUCUUAGUGGGCCAUUUUUGGUAAGCAGAACUGGCGAUGUGGGAUGAACCAAAACGUAAAGUUAAAGUGCCUAAAAAUACGUUCAUCAGACACCACAAAAGGUGUUGAUUCAUCUUGACAGUUGGACAGUGGCCAUGGAAGUCGGAAUCUGCUAAGGAGUGUGUAACAACUCACCAACCGAAUGAAUUAGCCCUGAAAAUGGAUGGCGCUUAAACGUAUUACUUAUACUUUACCAUUAAGAUAAAUGCUAAAUCUUAAUGAGUAGGAGGCGUAUGGAUAAUUUAGAAGAUUGACAGUGAUGUUGAUUGGAAUUAUCUUUAGUGC